Molecule: RNA transcript, 2321 nt
Organism: Priapulus caudatus
Lineage: Eukaryota; Metazoa; Priapulida; Priapulimorpha; Priapulimorphida; Priapulidae
Gene name: UV-stimulated scaffold protein A-like
Exons: 7
Source: RefSeq, a predicted model, not a curated record
ACUAGUACAGUAGUAGUACUAGUAUACAGUAACAUGGAUGUUAAAGAUUUACAACUACUGAGUUUCUGUGUUGGGAAACUUACUAAUUCGGGAGAACCUAAACUGGACCAAGAAGUCAUGACAAAAAUAAAGAAAACAUGCAGGAUGUCAGACGACAACGUAAAACAUACGUUUCACUUACUUUGGACUGAGCUUGAGAAACCACAUUCAGAAAUGCGACUGUCAGCCUUCCAAAUCGUGGAUGAGUUGUUCAACAGGUCGCAUGCAUUCCGAGAGCUGGUGAUUGAGGAUUUCCAAUUCUUUCUUGAGCAAUGUGCGGGGACUGACUUUGAGAAUCCCUUACCAGCCCCAAAGGCAGCUGCCAUGACCCUGCGGAUGCGGUGCCUGACAGCCGUCCACCAGUGGAAUGAGAAGUAUGGUGAAGCUUACAAGAAACUCCAGUUGGGAUACAACUAUCUCAAAGAAUGCAAAGGUAUUAACUUCACAGACAUGCACAGCCAGAGCAUAGGUGAACAACAACGGGAGAAUGAGCGACGAGCCAGACAAGAGAACAUGCUUCGGGACAAGUUAAAAGUUAUUUCUCAGCAAAUGACUGACCUAAUUCCAGAAAUACAGAGCUGCUUGACACAGAUGGACAGCUGCUUUAGCUUGCUUUUGCCACACAUGGGUGAAAACCUGUAUGGAGGACAUGUACCACUUCCUGGGCCAUCGGGACUGAAUAAAGACUCUUGUGAUCUGGAGCUGCAAAAGUGUUGCAAUGAAGAAAGUCUAGAACUUCAACAGAGUCGACCUGAUGAUUCAGCGGCAGCGGAUACAGUUCCAGCCGUGGCUGGAAAAGAUGGUCACAGCAAUAAAGCUAAUACAGAUGGCGCCACGGAUAGAGAACUUGAUGACAUGGAGGAAUCAGAAGAGAGAGAAGACCUGCUGAGACACCAUGGCAUGCAGAGCAAAUAUAGCAUUGACAUUCAGGUGCAGUCCGAGUUGCCAUGGAUUCACGAAACAAUCGACAACACAGACAUAAUCAAUACUGCUGAUGAGCUGCUCAAGAUGCUGAAUACUAAACUGCAACCAGCCGUAGCUGAGUGGAUUACGGUUAUCACAAAGACUGGGGAGAACAUGGAUAUGUUGAAGAAAGCGAUUGACGUCAAACAGGCAAUUGAGGCUGCACGAAAGAAAUAUGCAGAGCUACGAAUUCUUCGCGUGAAGCCCGGGGAAGAAAAUGGAGAAGACAGUGAUGACGAUGAUGAUGGUGAUUUUGAAGAGGUAAAGGAGAAGGAAGGUUAUGAAGCAGACAUUCCAGAGCACCUAAGAGACGAGAUUGAAUUCAAGCCGAAAGAGCCGACACAGGUGAUGGAAGAAGUCUGGAAGCCUAGAAUACAUGUGGAGAACAGUGACAUCGACCCUACAACGAGUACUGCUACCUUGCACAAACUAUCUGCUAAAUACAAGCUCGACCUCACCCAGGCAGGCAAACCAGCAACGCAGGAAAUGUGUGAGGAAGUCGUCGGGCAGCAUGUCGACGGUGCCAAGUCUCCACGCACCAAGCAUCGCGAGGAGAACCUCGCGAGAGCGCCACAUCUCUCGUUCGGCGUCGACCUCGUCGACUGGGACAACCCACUGCCGGCGGGCGCCGUCGUCAGCCGCCGACACGAUCUCUGCCGUUUCUGGAUCGCCGGCGAGGACGAGACGCACGUCUCGACGGAGCUGCUGUCGUCGAUGCGACACCGCGCGAUCCCGUUCGUCGGCGCGUUUGAGCCCGUGAAGCACGCGUGCCGCGCGCCGCUGCCGUCCGGCCGUCUGUGCACGCGCCGCGACCGCCGCAUCUGCCCGUUCCACGGCCGCAUCGUGCCGCGUGACGCCGCGGGCCGGCCGCGCGACGCCGAGGAUCGCGCGCGCAUCGAGCGCGAGGAGGAGCGACGACUCCACGCCGCGACGCCCGAGUGGCAGGACCCGGCGCUGCUGCGUGAGCUGGAGGCGGCGACGGGCAUCGACCUGACCUUGACGGGGAGGGCGAAGGGCAAGGGCAAGGGGAAGGGGAAGAAGUCGAAGGAGACAAAGUUAACGAACGUGAGAGAGAUAGCGAAUACGCCCCGAUCACGGCUUGAGCGUAAAGUGCUGAGCAGGUCGGCGAUAAAGAAGGUCGCAAACGAUUUAAACUCGCUCGAGUACAAGCGGUUCAGAGAUAAAUUCUCAAAUCAAUAUGCCUAUCAGUGAGGUGAUGUAUUGAUUUAUGGCAACGCGAUAUAUGAGUGACAACUACCACGUUUUACAUGAAUUGGUAAUUUAAUUUAAUAAUCAAUAUAUGAAGUAUAAUAUAAGAA